Trichosporon asahii var. asahii CBS 8904 is the source of this 85-nucleotide transfer RNA. It matches the Rfam family "tRNA". Rfam says of the family: Transfer RNA (tRNA) molecules are approximately 80 nucleotides in length. Lineage: Eukaryota; Fungi; Basidiomycota; Tremellomycetes; Trichosporonales; Trichosporonaceae. The record is from Rfam.
GGGCGUGUAGCUCAGUUGGUAGAGCGCGUCAUUAGCAUCUUCUAGCUCAUUGACGAGGUCUUUGGUUCGAUUCCUAACUCGUCCA